This is a non-coding RNA of Panaeolus papilionaceus, 85 nucleotides long. Lineage: Eukaryota; Fungi; Basidiomycota; Agaricomycetes; Agaricales. The record is from the annotation of a GenBank genome assembly.
GGGCGCUUAGCACAGUGGUAGGGCGCACGCUUUGCAUCUUCAGAUGAUCUGCGUGAGGUCGAGGGUUCAAACCCCUCAGCGUCCA